This 543-nucleotide ribosomal RNA is filed under the name Vibrio cholerae. Its description in RNAcentral is "partial 23S ribosomal RNA". It matches the Rfam family "Bacterial large subunit ribosomal RNA", at positions 2267 to 2809 of the family's 2925-position model. The record is from RNAcentral. Lineage: Bacteria; Pseudomonadati; Pseudomonadota; Gammaproteobacteria; Vibrionales; Vibrionaceae.
AGUUUGACUGGGGCGGUCUCCUCCCAAAGAGUAACGGAGGAGCACGAAGGUGGGCUAAUCACGGUUGGACAUCGUGAGGUUAGUGCAAUGGCAUAAGCCCGCUUAACUGCGAGAAUGACGGUUCGAGCAGGUGCGAAAGCAGGUCAUAGUGAUCCGGUGGUUCUGUAUGGAAGGGCCAUCGCUCAACGGAUAAAAGGUACUCCGGGGAUAACAGGCUGAUACCGCCCAAGAGUUCAUAUCGACGGCGGUGUUUGGCACCUCGAUGUCGGCUCAUCACAUCCUGGGGCUGAAGUCGGUCCCAAGGGUAUGGCUGUUCGCCAUUUAAAGUGGUACGCGAGCUGGGUUUAGAACGUCGUGAGACAGUUCGGUCCCUAUCUGCCGUGGGCGUUGGAAGAUUGAAGGGGGCUGCUCCUAGUACGAGAGGACCGGAGUGGACGAACCUCUGGUGUUCGGGUUGUGUCGCCAGACGCAUUGCCCGGUAGCUAAGUUCGGAAUUGAUAAGCGCUGAAAGCAUCUAAGCGCGAAGCGAGCCCUGAGAUGAGU